Burkholderia sp. H160 is the source of this 173-nucleotide non-coding RNA. The record is from Rfam. NCBI's taxonomy places the organism in Bacteria, Pseudomonadati, Pseudomonadota, Betaproteobacteria, Burkholderiales, Burkholderiaceae.
GUCGGCGUCGUCACCCUCCAGCCGACGACCGUGCCCGUCAUCACCGAACUGCCCGGUCGUACCAGUGCUUUCCUCGUCGCCCAGGUGCGCGCGCGGGUCGAUGGCAUCGUGCUCCACCGUGAGUUCACCGAGGGCAGCGAGGUCAAGGCCGGCCAGCGUCUGUACAAGAUCGA